Long non-coding RNA from Paramacrobiotus metropolitanus, 543 nucleotides. RefSeq lists it as uncharacterized. The transcript is spliced from 2 exons. The record is from RefSeq and is a predicted model, not a curated record. NCBI's taxonomy places the organism in Eukaryota, Metazoa, Tardigrada, Eutardigrada, Parachela, Macrobiotidae.
UCAUGCUUCGUUAUUCAGUGUUCAGCAGAAUUUAAUACGUGUAUUCCAUUAUACACAUUUGUUUUUAAUUUUAAGUUUUUAAAAUCUGCAACAGCUUUUAAAAUGAGGCUAUCGAUGGUUUUUAUUGCUGUCCUUGUGGUAGUCUGCAUCAUGAGUGAGUUCGUGUCGGCCAGAUUCAAAGACUUCCGGGGAUGCCGUUGCCCCGGAGAACCCAGCUUCAUGACUUGCAAGACCUGCACACGAAAUUGCCGACAACAGACGCGCUGUGUGAACGAAGGAGGUACUUAUAUUUGCGCCGUCAGCGAAUCGACAAAGAAAAAUCCACAAGAAGAGAGGAGUAUGAAAGAUUGCUGCGGCAAAUGCGACAAGGCCUGCAAAGGUGAAUUAGCCUGCCAGAUCUUCAGUGACCUUGUUGGUUAAUACCAACAAAAAUCCCUUUUCUCAAGAUCGCCAGCCAGUAACCAACGGCCGCUGCUUUAACUACGUACCGCAGUCAGGUACCUUUCACGGUCUAUUUGUUUAUCAUUAAAAAGCUUGUGGUGG